Molecule: ribosomal RNA, 503 nt
Filed under: uncultured bacterium
Lineage: Bacteria
Description: bacterial SSU rRNA
Rfam family: Bacterial small subunit ribosomal RNA
Source: RNAcentral
UGACGCUGGCGGCAGGCCUAACACAUGCAAGUCGGGCGGUAACAGGGAUAGCUUGCUAUCUGCUGACGAGCGGCGGACGGGUGAGUAAUGCAUAGGAAUCUGCCUGAUAGUGGGGGAUAGCCCAGAGAAAUUUGGAUUAAUACCGCAUACGCCCUACGGGGGAAAGCUGGGGACCUUCGGGCCUAGCGCUAUCAGAUGAGCCUAUGUCGGAUUAGCUUGUUGGUGAGGUAACGGCUCACCAAGGCGACGAUCCGUAGCUGGUCUGAGAGGAUGAUCAGCCACACUGGGACUGAGACACGGCCCAGACUCCUACGGGAGGCAGCAGUGGGGAAUAUUGGACAAUGGGCGCAAGCCUGAUCCAGCCAUGCCCCGUGUGUGAAGAAAGCCUUCNGGUUUGUAAAGCACUUUCAACGAAGAAGAAAAGGGUGUUGCUAAUAUCAGCGCCCUGUGACGUUACUCGCAGAAGAAGCACCGGCUAACUNCGUGCCAGCAGCCGCGGUAAU